RNAcentral lists this long non-coding RNA (1515 nucleotides) under Ananas comosus (pineapple). Its description in RNAcentral is "long non-coding RNA (ACOM_LNC004771)". The record is from RNAcentral. Lineage: Eukaryota; Viridiplantae; Streptophyta; Magnoliopsida; Poales; Bromeliaceae.
AUAUAUAUAUAUAUAUAUAUAUAUAUAUAUAUUCCCCAAGUAUAUUCUUUGGAGAAGCUGCUAUAACUUCACUACAGAUAUUGAAUUCUUAGAGGUGAAUUGCUGCAACGUGUCAUAUUAUUUACAAAACUGCAUCAUCUCGCAUCCACGUUUGACAUUCUAUUUACUGCUCCAUAGACUGGUCAUUGUGGCCAAGCAAUAUACAAAACAAAAUAAAGGCAAAACAAGCUGAAAACAGAAAUAAACAAAUAAUACAGUAGAGAAGUUUCAUCCUUGCAAUUAGAAGUGAAACAAAGAACAAUCUGCUUUUUUAGCUAGAGACUAAACACACAAACCAUGAGAAAUUGUUUGAAGGGGGUAAUCAUGCGCACAUCGCACGCGCAGACACAGAUGCGGAACACAUGUGCGCGCGCUCGCACGGACAAAAGGAAAUUAAGAAAUGACAAGAUCCAUGAGAUCAGAGUGUUGGUGGGGGUCCUGGCUCGAACAAUGGAGGGCAGCAACUCCUGAAGAGGCCACAGCAGCAAAGACAGCACAGACUGCAAUUUUUUACAAGAAGAAAGCCAAAGGUUGAGUUCAUUGCAAGUGUAUAAACUUUUCUUCAGCAACCAAUUUUUUUUUCUUUUCUUGGCAAAUGCAUGCAGGUGUACUAUCCGAACCUUAGCGCAUUCGUGAUGGGUACCGGAAUGUUAAAAGCUAUUAUUUCAAUGCUCAACUUGUUAUACUUUUAGCUAUCGUCGCAACUAUUUUGACAGAAUACUAUGUUGCUUGCUGGCACAUUCAUAUUUUGAAAUUCAGGUACUUGAUUCAAAAUAGCCCAUGAAUCAGGUAAUUCUCUGUACAUUUUUACCUUCUUUUUUGUAAAAAAAGCCUAAUAGUUUAAAUUCUGAGCCAGAAAACAAUCACUAAUAUGCAGUAUAAGACUCUUUUCAGAUACUCACUGCCAUGUAUGUACACAAGUUGAGAAGAAGCAGAAGAGGAGCAAAGCAGCAGCAGGUGAGUGAUUACCAUGAAUCCAGGAAUCCGUCAGGUGGUGGCGCAGGUGCGGGCGGAAGCAGUGGCACUUCCGGUGACGGCGGUGAGUACGGCCGCGGCGGGGGACGAGGAUCAGGUUCCAUAAUCUUCGGUAAGGAUUGAUGAGGAAAAUUUCAGUUUGGUGAGUGUUUUGUGCACAUCAGGUGUAUAAUUUUUUUUUUUUAAUCAUAAAUCACCUACUCUUCAAAUUGUGAGUAUCCAACUAACAUUCUGCAUGAACUUGAAUCUUUAUGUGGAGGUUUCCUUUUUUUCUCUGAGGAGUUUGAAACCCAAAUAUAUAUACUAAACCAACACAAAAAUCAUACAUGUGCAUUGUAGGAAGCAUGAUAUCAGUGUACUAAGGCCUCAUUGUUCUUUCCUUGAGUUUGUGGUUUCUAUUCCCUAUUGCCAUUCUAUAAUAAAAAGUUUCAUUUAAUGCACGUGAGAGGUGUUAAUACUUUUUCCUUUUUUUCUUUUUUCUUUUUUUUUUUCGCUGUCGCA